RNAcentral lists this long non-coding RNA (739 nucleotides) under Salmo salar (Atlantic salmon). Its description in RNAcentral is "lncRNA (ENSSSAG00000084169.1)". Lineage: Eukaryota; Metazoa; Chordata; Actinopteri; Salmoniformes; Salmonidae. The record is from RNAcentral.
CAGCUAUUCAGACACACACAUUUUUUUCUGGAGGCAAGCUGAAGUACGGCGCCGAAGUCUACGCCCCUUCGUUGGUGAUUGGUCAAUGGACCUGAGCCCUAGGACCAUGCCUCAGGACUACCUGGCUUGAUGACUCCUUGCUGUCCCCAGUUCACCUGGCCGUGCUGCUGCUCCAUUUCCAACUGUUCUGCCUGCAGCUAUGGAACCCUGAACUAUUCACUGGAUGUGCUACCUGUCCCAGACCUGCUGUUUUCAACUCUCUAGAGACAGCAGGAGCGGUAGAGAUACUCUCAAAGAUCGGCUAUGAAAAAGCCAACUGACACUUACUCUUGUGUCACUGACUUGUUGCACCCUCGACAACUACUAUGAUUAUUAUUAUUUGACCAUGCUGGUCAUUUAUGAACAUUUGAACAUCUAGGCUAUGUGCUGUUAUAAUCUCCACCCGGCACAGCCAGAAGAGGACUGGCCACCCCUCAUAGCCUGGUUCCUCUCUAGGUUUCUUCCUGGGUUUUGGCCUUUCUAGGGAGUUUUUCCUAGCCACCGUGCUUCUACACCUGCAUUGCUUGCUGUUUGGGGUUUUAGGCUGGGUUUCUGUACAGCGCUUUGAGAUAUCAGCUGAUGUAAGAAGGGCUAUAUAAAUAAAUUUGAUUUGAUGAUUCUGUCAUCAUGAAGUUCUUUGAGAGACUAGUCAUGGACCAUAUCACCUCCACCCUACCUGAUAACCUAGACCCAAUCUAAU